RNAcentral lists this non-coding RNA (176 nucleotides) under Marinitoga piezophila. The record is from RNAcentral. Lineage: Bacteria; Thermotogati; Thermotogota; Thermotogae; Petrotogales; Petrotogaceae. RNAcentral also lists the same sequence under 1 other name.
AAAUAAAAAUUCCUUUAAAGUGUAAGGGAAAGCGGUGAAAAUCCGCUGCGGGCGCGCCACCGUGAGUGGGGACGAAACUGGCAAAGUAACGCCACUGGAAUUGUUUAUAUUCCGGGAAGGCGCCAGGAGUAGGAAGAUCCACAAGCCGGGAGACCUGCUUUAAAGGGAUUUGUUCC